ACGAUGAAGUUAUGACGGAGGCUUCGGCCGACUGAAUGAUGGAUUAGUGGCGGACGGGUGAGUAACGCGUGAGUAACCUGCCUUUCAGAGAGGAAUAACAUUUGGAAACGAAUGGUAAUACCACAUAACAUUACGUUCUCGCAUGGGGAUGUAAUCAAAGAUUUAUCGCUGAGAGAUGGACUCGCGUCCGAUUAGCUGGAUGGUGAGGUAACGGCCCACCAUGGCGACGAUCGGUAGCCGGACUGAGAGGUUGAACGGCCACAUUGGGACUGAGACACGGCCCAGACUCCUACGGGAGGCAGCAGUGGGGAAUAUUGCACAAUGGGGGAAACCCUGAUGCAGCAACGCCGCGUGAAGGAAGACGGUCUUCGGAUUGUAAACUUUUGUUCUUGGUGAAGAAGAAUGACGGUAGCCAAGGAGGAAGCCACGGCUAACUACGUGCCAGCAGCCGCGGUAAUACGUAGGUGGCAAGCGUUGUCCGGAAUUACUGGGUGUAAAGGGAGCGCAGGCGGGAAAUCAAGUUGGAUGUGAAAUGUCGGGGCUUAACCCCGGAACUGCAUCCAAA
This 565-nucleotide ribosomal RNA is filed under the name uncultured bacterium. Its description in RNAcentral is "bacterial SSU rRNA". It matches the Rfam family "Bacterial small subunit ribosomal RNA", at positions 53 to 631 of the family's 1533-position model. The record is from RNAcentral.